This 406-nucleotide ribosomal RNA is filed under the name uncultured bacterium. RNAcentral's name for it is "partial 16S ribosomal RNA". It matches the Rfam family "Bacterial small subunit ribosomal RNA", at positions 30 to 526 of the family's 1533-position model. The record is from RNAcentral.
AUUGAACGCUGGCGGCAAGCCUAACACAUGCAAGUCGAACGAGUGGCGGACGGGUGAGUAAUGUCUGGGAAACUGCCUGAUGGAGGGGGAUAACUACUGGAAACGGUAGCUAAUAACGCAUACCAUCGGAUGUGCCCAGAUGGGAUUAGCGAGUAGGUGUGGUAAAGGCUCACCUAGGCGACGAUCCCUAGCUGGUCUGAGAGGAUGACCAGCCACACUGGAACGGUGACACGGUCCAUCUGCCGACGGGAGGCAGCAGUGGUGACUAUUGCACAAUGGGCGCAAGCCUGUUGCAGCCAUGCCGCGUGUAUGAAGAAGGCCUUCGGGUUGUAAAGUACUGUCAGCGGGGAGGCGUUACCCGCAGAAGAAGCACCGGCUAACUCCGUGCCAGCAGCCGCGGUAAUAC